RNAcentral lists this long non-coding RNA (204 nucleotides) under Elaeis guineensis (African oil palm). RNAcentral describes it as "long non-coding RNA (EGUI_LNC015304)". Lineage: Eukaryota; Viridiplantae; Streptophyta; Magnoliopsida; Arecales; Arecaceae. The record is from RNAcentral.
AUUCAUUGAUCCAGCUAUCUAAAUCAAUUUGGUUCGAGUCAUACCAAACUUUGAUACAAUCUCCCACCUGGUAAGCAUUCCCAACAAACCCUACCUUUAAGUUGAGACUGAAUUUUUCCCCUCAGAGAACACAAGGCUCGAUGACAGAUUAACGACUACGAAGUCAUUAAACAAGUUUGUUAUGGUGGGGGUUUGGUCCCCUUG